Molecule: ribosomal RNA, 487 nt
Filed under: uncultured Lachnospiraceae bacterium
Lineage: Bacteria; Bacillati; Bacillota; Clostridia; Lachnospirales; Lachnospiraceae
Description: partial 16S ribosomal RNA
Source: RNAcentral
CACGUAGUUAGCCGGGGCUUCUUAGUCAGGUACCGUCAUUUUCUUUCCUGCUGAUAGAGCUUUACAUACCGAAAUACUUCUUCACUCACGCGGCGUCGCUGCAUCAGGGUUUCCCCCCAUUGUGCAAUAUUCCCCACUGCUGCCUCCCGUAGGAGUUUGGGCCGUGUCUCAGUCCCAAUGUGGCCGUUCACCCUCUCAGGCCGGCUACUGAUCGUCGCCUUGGUGGGCCCCUACCCCGCAACAGCUAAUCAGACGCGGGUCCAUCGUAUACCACCGGAGUUUUUCACACCGGACCAUGCGAUCCUGUGCGCUUAUGCGGUUUUAGCACCUAUUUCUAAGUGUUAUCCCCCUGUAUACGGCAGGUUACCCACGCGUUACUCACCCGUCCGCCACUAACAGAUAAAUCACUAGGUUUCAUUACCUGUCCGUUCGACUUGCAUGUGUUAAGCACGCCGCCAGCGUUCAUCCUGAGCCAGGAUCAAACUCU